RNAcentral lists this ribosomal RNA (406 nucleotides) under uncultured bacterium. RNAcentral describes it as "bacterial SSU rRNA". It matches the Rfam family "Bacterial small subunit ribosomal RNA", at positions 355 to 775 of the family's 1533-position model. The record is from RNAcentral.
CAAGGAAUUUUCCGCAAUGGGCGCAAGCCUGACGGAGCAACGCCGCGUGCGGGAGGACGCCCUUCGGGGUGUAAACCGCUUUUCGGGGGGACGAAGGAAGUGACGGUACCCCCGGAAGAAGGCCCGGCUAACUACGUGCCAGCAGCCGCGGUAAGACGUAGGGGCCGAGCGUUGUCCGGAGUUACUGGGCGUAAAGGGCGCGCAGGCGGCCGGUCGCAUCGGCGGUGAAAGCCCCCCGCUCAACGGGGGAGGGUCCGUCGAGAUGGAUCGGCUGGAGGCAGGGAGAGGGCGGUGGAAUUCCGGGUGUAGUGGUGAAAUGCGUAGAGAUCCGGAGGAACACCAGUGGCGAAGGCGGCCGCCUGGACCUGACCUGACGCUGAGGCGCGAAGGCGUGGGGAGCGAACGG